GACGAACGCUGGCGGCGUGCCUAAUACAUGCAAGUAGAACGCUGAAGAGAGGAGCUUGCUCUUCUUGGAUGAGUUGCGAACGGGUGAGUAACGCGUAGGUAACCUGCCUUGUAGCGGGGGAUAACUAUUGGAAACGAUAGCUAAUACCGCAUAACAAUGGAUGACACAUGUCAUUUAUUUGAAAGGGGCAAUUGCUCCACUACAAGAUGGACCUGCGUUGUAUUAGCUAGUAGGUGAGGUAAUGGCUCACCUAGGCGACGAUACAUAGCCGACCUGAGAGGGUGAUCGGCCACACUGGGACUGAGACACGGCCCAGACUCCUACGGGAGGCAGCAGUAGGGAAUCUUCGGCAAUGCGGGCAACCCUGACCGAGCAACGCCGCGUGAGUGAAGAAGGUUGUCGGAUCGUAAAGCUCUGUUGUAAGUCAAGAACGGGUGUGAGAGUGGAAAGUUCACACUGUGACGGUAGCUUACCAGAAAGGGACGGCUAACUACGUG
Molecule: ribosomal RNA, 497 nt
Filed under: uncultured bacterium
Lineage: Bacteria
Description: partial 16S ribosomal RNA
Rfam family: Bacterial small subunit ribosomal RNA
Source: RNAcentral